Molecule: ribosomal RNA, 113 nt
Filed under: Leyella lascolaii
Lineage: Bacteria; Pseudomonadati; Bacteroidota; Bacteroidia; Bacteroidales; Prevotellaceae
Source: RNAcentral
UAUGGUGGUGAUAGCGACGGUGUUCCACCUCUUCCCAUCCCGAACAGAGAAGUUAAGCCCGUCAUCGCCGAUGGUACUGCAAUGCAAUGCGGGAGAGUAGGCAGCCGCCUUUU